Molecule: ribosomal RNA, 481 nt
Filed under: Antongilia muricata
Lineage: Eukaryota; Metazoa; Arthropoda; Insecta; Phasmatodea; Bacillidae
Description: partial large subunit ribosomal RNA
Source: RNAcentral
CGCCCGACGCCACGGCGCCCUUCCACGAAACCGGCGCGCCCCUCCGCACCGCCUGGUAAACAGGUGCGUGUGCCGGGCGUCGCCGGGUGGACCGGCGAAAUCGUGUCGCGUCGGCGACAAUGCACUUCCCCCCUAGUAGAAAAGCCGCGACCCGUCGGGUGCCAGGUCUCAGGGCCCGAGAUGGCAGCACGCUGCGUCCCGCCUUCGCAAGAGGGCAGGCGCGCGGACUCUCUGGGAACCCGGCCGGCUGCCCGACGGAAGAUUGAUCCGAGAGGAGUGAAUCCGCUCGUCGCCGACCCGGCGACGCAGCAAUGUGUCUUUGAAGCGUCCGAACGGGCGCCGACGGGCGAGGUGUGCCGGUCUUGGUGGUUCGCCACGAACCCGCCGCGCGAUCUCGCUCCCGUCGGUAGCCGCUGUUCUCGGACCGGACGAACUCCAGUCGGCGGCCAAAAGUUCGGGUGUUCUCCCGACCCGUCUUGAA